This 207-nucleotide ribosomal RNA is filed under the name uncultured bacterium. RNAcentral's name for it is "partial 16S ribosomal RNA". It matches the Rfam family "Bacterial small subunit ribosomal RNA", at positions 568 to 774 of the family's 1533-position model. The record is from RNAcentral.
CGCGUAGGCGGCUUCUUAAGUCAGAUGUGAAAGCCCGGGGCUUAACCCCGGAAGUGCAUUUGAAACUAAGGGGCUUGAGUAUGGGAGAGGGAAGUGGAAUUCCUGGUGUAGCGGUGAAAUGCGUAGAUAUCAGGAGGAACACCGGUGGCGAAGGCGACUUCCUGGACCAAUACUGACGCUGAGGCGCGAAGGCGUGGGGAGCAAACA